GAAUUCCCCCUUAGAGUUUGAUCCUGGCUCAGGAUGAAUGCUGGCGGCGUGCUUAACACAUGCAAGUCGAGCGAUGAAGCUUCUUCGGAAGUGGAUUAGCGGCGGACGGGUGAGUAACACGUGGGUAACCUGCCUUGUAGAGAGGAAUAGCCAUUCGAAAGGAUGAUUAAUACCUCAUAAUAUUGUAGCUUCGCAUGGAGCAACAAUCAAAGGAGCAAUCCGCUACAAGAUGGACCCGCGGCGCAUUAGCUAGUUGGGGAGGUAACGGCUCACCAAGGCGACGAUGCGUAGCCGACCUGAGAGGGUGAUCGGCCACAUUGGGACUGAGACACCGCCCACACUCCUACGGGAGGCAGCAGUGGGGAAUAUUGCACGAUGGGGGAAACCCUGAUGCACCACCGCCGCGUGAGUGAUGACGGUCUUCGGAUUGUAAAGCUCUGUCUUCAGGGACGAUAAUGACGGUACCUGAGGAGGAAGCCACGGCUAACUACGUGCCACCAGCCGCGGUAAUACGUAGGUGGCAAGCGUUGUCCGGAUUUACUGGGCGUAAAGGGAGCGUAAGCGGACUUUUAAGUGGGAUGUGAAAUACCCGGGCUUAACCUGGGUGCUGCCUUCCCAACUGGGAGUUCUAGAGUGCAGGAGGGGAAAGUGGAAUUCCUAGUGUAGCGGUGAAAUGCGUAGAGAUUAAGAAGAACACCCGGUGGCGAAGGCCACUUUUCUGGACUGUAACCUGACGCUUGAAGCUCCAAAGCCGUGGGGAUCAAACAGGAUUAGAUACCCUGGUAGUCCACGCAGUAAACGAUGAUGACUUGUUGUCGGCGAUACAAUGUCGGUGACAAAGCGAAAGCGAUAAGUCAUCCACCUGGGGAGUACGAUCGCAAGGUUGAAACUCAAAGGAAUUGACGGGGGCCCGCACAAGCGGAGGAGCAUGUGGUUUAAUUCGAUGUAACGCGAAGAACCUUACCAAGGCUUGACAUUGAGUGCAAAACUGUGAAAGCAGUUCCUUUCUUCGGAAACACGAAAACAGGUGGUGCAUGGCUGUCGUCAGCUCGUGUCGUGAGAUGUUGGGUUAAGUCCCGCAACGAGCGCAACCCCUAUCCUAUGUUACCAGCGGGUAAAGCCGGGGACUCAUUGGAGACUGCCAGGGAUAACCUGGAGGAAGGCGGGGAUGACGUCAAGUCAUCAUGCCCCUUAUGUCUUGGGCUACACACGUACUACAAUGGCCGGCAACAGAGGGAAGCGAAGCCGCGAGGCAGAGCGGAUCCCAGAAACCCGGUCUCAGUUCGGAUCGCAGGCUGCAACCCGCCUGCGUGAAGUCGGAAUCGCUAGUAAUCGCAGGUCAGCAUACUGCGGUGAAUACGUUCCCGGGCCUUGUACUCACAAGCCGUCA
RNAcentral lists this ribosomal RNA (1390 nucleotides) under uncultured bacterium. RNAcentral describes it as "partial 16S ribosomal RNA". It matches the Rfam family "Bacterial small subunit ribosomal RNA". The record is from RNAcentral.